Molecule: non-coding RNA, 105 nt
Organism: Malassezia sympodialis ATCC 42132
Lineage: Eukaryota; Fungi; Basidiomycota; Malasseziomycetes; Malasseziales; Malasseziaceae
Source: Rfam
GGCAGGGUAGCAAAGUGGUCUAAUGCAGCGGCCUUAAGCAGCCGAGUGGUUUUUUCACUCAGAAUUGCAAUCCGCCAUUCGCGGGUUCGAACCCCGCCCUUGCCA